This 465-nucleotide ribosomal RNA is filed under the name uncultured bacterium. RNAcentral describes it as "partial 16S ribosomal RNA". It matches the Rfam family "Bacterial small subunit ribosomal RNA", at positions 29 to 507 of the family's 1533-position model. The record is from RNAcentral.
AUGAACGCUGGCGGCGUGCUUAACCCAUGCCAGUCGAACGCUGAAGCCCAGCUUGCUGGGUGGAUUAGUGGCGAACGGGUGAGUAACACGUGAGUAACCUGCCCUUAACUCUGGGAUAAGCCUGGGAAACUGGGUCUAAUACCGGAUAGGAGCGCCUACCGCAUGGUGGGUGUUGGAAAGAUUUAUCGGUUUUGGAUGGACUCGCGGCCUAUCAGCUUGUUGGUGAGGUAAUGGCUCACCAAGGCGACGACGGGUAGCCGGCCUGAGAGGGUGACCGGCCACACUGGGACUGAGACACGGCCCAGACUCCUACGGGAGGCAGCAGUGGGGAAUAUUGCACAAUGGGCGAAAGCCUGAUGCAGCGACGCCGCGUGAGGGAUGACGGCCUUCGGGUUGUAAACCUCUUUCAGUAGGGAAGAAGCGAAAGUGACGGUACCUGCAGAAGAAGCACCGGCUAACUACGUG